ACUUCCCAGCUGUGUGACCCUGGGCAAGUCACUUAACCCCCAUUGCCUAGCCCUUAGCACUCUUCUGCCUUGGAACCAAUAACCAGUAUUGAUUCAAAGAUGGAAGGUAAGGGUUUAAAAAAAAGAAAAGAAAGAAAGGGGAAGAAAGAAAGAGAGAGAGAAAGGGAUAAAGAAACUGAGAAAAGAAAGAGAAAGGGAGAAAGAAAAGAAAAAAGGUAGGAAGCAAAGAAAGAAAAAGGGAAGGAGAGAAAGAAGGGAAGGAAGAAAGAAAAAGAAAGAAAGAAAAAGUAAGAGAGAAAGAAAGAAAGAAAGAAAGAAAGAAAGAAAGAAAGAAAGAAAGAAAGAAAGAAAGAAAGAAAGAAAGAAAGAAAGAAAGAAAGAAAGAAAGAAAGAAAGAAAGAAAGAAGGAAAGAAGGAAAGAAGGAAAGAAGGAAAGAAGGAAAGAAAGAAAGAAAGAAAGAGGAAGAAAAGAAAAAUGAAGGAGAGAAAAGGAAAGAAAAAAGGAAAGGAAAGAAAGAAAAAGGGAAAAGGAGAGAAAGAAGGAAAAGAAGAAAGAAAAGGAAAGAAAGAAAAAGGUAAAAGGAGAGAAAGAUGGAAGAGAAGGAAUUCCCCUUUACUGGAAAAGGACCCUUCUUCCAAAGAGUCCAGCAGAUGUUGGACCUGCCCCUGUCCAACAUAGAUAUACUUCUUCAUUCUGAUGCAAGGCCUUACAUGUACCAAUGGUGGCUUAAAUUUGGCUUUGGAUGGCCCAGGGGGUCAGUCAGUUGUUUCUGAUUUGUCAUUUGCUAGCACACACUGGUCAUAGACCAUCCUCCUAUACAGUUAAUCCUUAAGUGGGGGUGUAUACAUUCCUGGUUGCUAGAAUUCUAAAGACUAAGCAGGGUGGAGUAAAACUAAAAUUCACACUUCUCAGAAGUUUCUGAUAGGACCCCAUACUCAACUCCAUUUUCUAGAAUCCCUUUUUAACUUGAUUGGUGAUUUGUAGAUGAUCCUCAAGGCACAGUUAAAUUUCCUCUCCCCAUUCAAAUUAGAUUAUUAUGUGACUUCAAAGGCCGUCUUGCACUUAGACUAAGGUCUUUUCAUAUAUUGAUUGAAACAUGUUCUCUUCUAGUCAAGGUAGCAGAACUAAAAUGGGAAAGGAUAAUUUAUAUCCUACCCUUACAAGGUCAACUCGUUCUUUGACAGAGAACAACCUUGCCAGCUUCAAAGGGUCUGGAGGAUGUGGAUCUUCUUUAUCUUCUCAUCAGUGUUCCAAAUGGCAUCUUCAGAUCAGCUGGUGGCAAGGUUUGCACCCAUGAAAGUCAAUGACAGAUUGGAUUUAGGAUUCUAGAGAGCCAAACCUGGUGUCAGAAGGACCUGGGUUCAAAUCUGGCCUCAGAUACAUCCUAGCUCUGUUACCCUAGACAAAUCACUUAAAAGGUUGGUUUGUUUUUGUUUUUUGUUGUUUUGUUUUGUUUUGCUUUGCUUUGCUUUGCUUUGCUUUAAAAGAUGGGACAAACAAACAAACAAACAAAAAAGAUGGGACAAAAGUACUUCAUGCAAACAUUAACUUUGAGCUCUCUGUAGGCUAUGUGUGGUCUCUAAGUUUGAGCCCACUCUCCUGAACUCUGUAUUAUAGGGAGAGUGUGCCACAGCCCUUUAUUGUAUUUCCUUAUUAAAUACCUCUUUCUUUUUCUCAGUUAUUUUUUGGUUUAUUUCUGUUGUUUAUUUUUAAUUUUUAAAAUUUUCAAUUACAUGUCCACGAAAAUCGAGUAACAGUUGGGGAUUUAAACAAUAUUUUCUUAUUUCUUUUUGAAUCAAUACCACGUUUUGGUUCCAAGGCAGAAGAGCAGUAAGGGAUAAGCAAUGGGAGUUAAGUGACUUGCCCAGGGUCACACAGAUAGGAAGUGUCUGAGGCCAGAUUUGAACCUACAAGCUCCCAUCUCUAGGCCUGGCUCUCAAUCCACUGAGCCACCCAACUACCCCCUAUUUUAUUUUUUUUAAUAUUUUUCCAUAGUUACGUGAUUCAUGUUCUUUCCAUCCCCUUUCUUCCCCCCUCCCAGAGCCAACAAGCAAUUCCACUGGGUUAGACAUUAACAUUGGGUUUUUUUUUUAUUUUUUUAGCUCCAAAUUUUCCCCUUCCUUCUCUCCCCUCCCCUCCUUGAGAAGACAAGUUGAUAUAGAUUAUACAUGUGCAGUCAUGCAAAACAUUUCCACCUUAGCCAUUUUGCAAAAGAAAACGCAGACCAAACCCACCCCCUCAACCCAAGAAUAAUAAAGUUUAAAAAGGAAUGCUUCCA
Molecule: long non-coding RNA, 2279 nt
Organism: Monodelphis domestica (gray short-tailed opossum)
Lineage: Eukaryota; Metazoa; Chordata; Mammalia; Didelphimorphia; Didelphidae
Source: Ensembl